Alligator sinensis (Chinese alligator) is the source of this 1178-nucleotide long non-coding RNA. RefSeq lists it as uncharacterized. The transcript is spliced from 2 exons. The record is from RefSeq and is a predicted model, not a curated record. NCBI's taxonomy places the organism in Eukaryota, Metazoa, Chordata, Crocodylia, Alligatoridae.
ACUGCCCCAGCCUCUUGCCAACAUGCGACGUCCACUUGGGAGCAUGAACCCCCUGAUAGACACAGAGACUCGCAGGCAUUGCCUCCUGUUUGUGGCACCUUUUUGCCUUGACACUGCUCUCGUUACACUCCUGUACCAAUUAGCAUAGGUCGUGCCACCAUCCCACUCGCCCCGCUCACCCUCCAGCCUCCCAGCUCAGACUCACUGCCUGCUCCCUGCAGGGGCAACGGGGCAGCCUUGGGCACCAGGAUGCGCUUCACUGAGGGCCUUUGCCUUGGACUAAGCAUCCCAGGAGCAGGGGAAAUCUCUCCCGAGCAAUGCACAUGUCAGUGGAGAGCGGAGCCAAGUCCUGAGCUGGAGGGCUUGGCUUGGUGUGUGCCAGGCUGGGCUUCUCUUCCCAGCUCGAUGCUCACUUGGGAAAGGAAGGGGCAAUGGAUGCCCACUGGAGCCCAGGCAGCUGGCAUAGCUCCUCACUGCUGCUGUGUGCUUCACCUGCCUUUGUGGGGUGCGGGGUGUCUGCUUUCUGGGCAGGGAGAAGACAAAGGAUGCCCUCCUGGAGCUGAAGGCCGCACUGGAGAGCAGCCCCAAGGUGGUGGCUCACUACCCCGUGGAGGUGCGCUUCGCCCGGGCAGACAGCAUCCUGCUCAGCCCCUGCUUCCAGCGCGACAGCUGCUACAUGAACAUCAUCAUGUACAGGCUCACGCCUGCACCCGGACGGACUUUGAGAAGAUAUACCCCGGCUUCCCGAAGUUCUGCUCCAUCCGGGAGAAGCUGGAUCCUACAGGGAUGUUCCUGAACACCUACCUGGAGAAGGUGCUGUACUGAGGGUGGACGGGGAAGGAUGGCAACCCUGGACAGCUGGUGCCAUGUGCUCCAUUCCUGGAGGCAGGGGCACUGCUCCUGGUACAGCUCCCUUCUACUCCCAGAUCCCUUGGGACUGAACCAAAUCCUUGUCCAAGAACACUGCUCCCCUGGGGUGGUCCAGCUUUGACCUGGCAUAGGAGGAGUGCAUCCAGCAUCUGUUCAGGGAUUUAGAUUAGAUGACCCUUCAAGUUCCUUCCAGCCUUAGGGCUCUACGAUCCUAUAUGUCUCUUAGCUAAGUUGCUCUUGAGUCUCUGUCUCCUUUGUGUCUUGUACAGCUCCAAGCGCUCAUACCUCAAUAAAAAAUCCUCACUGAG